UAUAAUGUUUGACGCUCCGUCUUAUUUUGAAUUUUUUUGUGAUUAAUAUUUUUUUAUUAGAUGAUAAAACAUAAAUAGUACUUUACGGGUGACUACUUUUUUAAGUUUUUCUAUAAAAUUUUCAAAUAAGAUGAUGUUCAAACGUUGGAUGC
Molecule: microRNA precursor, 152 nt
Filed under: Oryza brachyantha (malo sina)
Lineage: Eukaryota; Viridiplantae; Streptophyta; Magnoliopsida; Poales; Poaceae
Description: MIR812 microRNA precursor family
Rfam family: MIR812 microRNA precursor family
Source: Rfam by way of RNAcentral